RNAcentral lists this ribosomal RNA (760 nucleotides) under uncultured Inocybe. RNAcentral describes it as "partial 28S ribosomal RNA". It matches the Rfam family "Eukaryotic large subunit ribosomal RNA", at positions 216 to 962 of the family's 3401-position model. Lineage: Eukaryota; Fungi; Basidiomycota; Agaricomycetes; Agaricales; Cortinariaceae. The record is from RNAcentral.
GAAUCCCGUCUUUGACACGGACUGCCUGUACAUUAUGGUGUGCUCUCGAAGAGUCGAGUUGUUUGGGAAUGCAGCUCAAAAUGGGUGGUAAAUGCCAUCUAAAGCUAAAUAUUGGCGAGAGACCGAUAGCGAACAAGUACCGUGAGGGAAAGAUGAAAAGAACUUUGGAAAGAGAGUUAAACAGUACGUGAAAUUGCUGAAAGGGAAACGCUUGAAGUCAGUCGCGUUGGCUAGAAAUCAACCUUGCUUUUGCUUUGUGUACUUUCUGGUUGACGGGUCAGCAUCAAUUUUGACCACUGGAUAAAGUCUUUGGGAAUGUGGCAUCUUCGGAUGUGUUAUAGCCCAUUGUCGCAUAUGGUGGUUGGGAUUGAGGAACUCAGCACGCCGCAAGGCCGGGUUUCGACCACGUUCGUGCUUAGGAUGCUGGCAUAAUGGCUUUAAUCGACCCGUCUUGAAACACGGACCAAGGAGUCUAACAUGCCUGCGAGUGUUUGGGUGGAAAAACCCAUGCGCGCAAUGAAAGUGAAAGUUGAGAUCCUCUUCAAAGGGGGAGCAUUGACGCCCGGACCAGACCUUUUGUGACGGAUCCGCGGUAGAGCAUGCAUGUUGGGACCCGAAAGAUGGUGAACUAUGCCUGAAUAGGGUGAAGCCAGAGGAAACUCUGGUGGAGGCUCGUAGCGAUUCUGACGUGCAAAUCGAUCGUCAAAUUUGGGUAUAGGGGCGAAAGACUAAUCGAACCAUCUAGUAGCUGGUUCCUGCC